AAAAUAUAUGUGUUGCUUUCUUGAUUACUUUUUUUUUUCUUUAGUUGAAUUUCAUGCAAUUUCUCGUUUUUUCCGUUCGUGAUAUCUUGAUCUAUGGUAUGAAUGUCCGAUGUGCAAUUUCAUGAUGAGAAUGCCACUGUUUGUGUGUGUGUUUCGCUGUUUUCAACAUGACUUGUUAAUUUCUUGCCUUGCAAGUAUUGCAUUUCUCUUUGUAUUGUGGUUAUUGUCGUUAUUUUACCGUUUACCCUAUAUUCCUUUGUUUGCUCUCUUUGCCAUAUUUUCAUGCCUUAUUUUACUAACCAUUUUUUGUUCUAUGUCUCAUCCAUUUUAUAGCAUUUCAUCAUUUCAUUCCUAUUCAUUUUUAUGUUAAGUGGACAUGUAAUAGUUCUAGGUAGUUUAAUUUCCUUUUAAUUUCUUGCAAGACCAUAGCAUGUAAACUAGGGCAAAGUGUAAAGGACAA
RNAcentral lists this long non-coding RNA (460 nucleotides) under Medicago truncatula (barrel medic). Its description in RNAcentral is "long non-coding RNA (MTRU_LNC002434)". Lineage: Eukaryota; Viridiplantae; Streptophyta; Magnoliopsida; Fabales; Fabaceae. The record is from RNAcentral.